Molecule: RNase P RNA, 397 nt
Filed under: Planctomycetota bacterium
Lineage: Bacteria; Pseudomonadati; Planctomycetota
Description: Planctomycetes bacterium (sediment metagenome) RNase P RNA component class A
Rfam family: Bacterial RNase P class A
About the family: Ribonuclease P (RNase P) is a ubiquitous endoribonuclease, found in archaea, bacteria and eukarya as well as chloroplasts and mitochondria. Its best characterised activity is the generation of mature 5'-ends of tRNAs by cleaving the 5'-leader elements of precursor-tRNAs.
Source: RNAcentral
CAGAGUCGAGGACGCGGCCGCGUCCGCCCAAGCCACGGCGAAGGCGGACGAGGAAAGUCCGAGCUCCACAGGGCAGCGCGAUGGGUAACGCCCACCGGCCGCGAGGCCAGGGAAAGUGCAACAGAAAACACACCGCCAACUGGGGCGUCGCAAGGCGCUCAAAGGGCAAGGGUGAAAUGGUGGGGUAAGAGCCCACCGGCGGCGUGGCGACACGCCGGCCUGGCAAACCCCGCGCGGAGCAAUGCCAAACAGGGAGCAGAGGCGGCCCGCCUCGCUACGACUCCCGGGUGGGCAGCACGAGGCCGACGGCAACGCCGGCCCUAGAUGGAUGGCCGCGGCCCGCCCAAGCCCCGGCGAAGGCGGGCAACAGAACUCGGCUUACGAUCGACUCUGCCUC